RNAcentral lists this unclassified non-coding RNA (229 nucleotides) under plant metagenome. RNAcentral describes it as "partial contains small subunit ribosomal RNA, internal transcribed spacer 1, and 5.8S ribosomal RNA". The record is from RNAcentral.
UCUCCGUAGGUGAACCUGCGGAGGGAUCAUUACAGAGCUCAUGCCCUACCGGGUAGAUCUCCCACCCUAUGUUAUUAUUACUUUGUUGCUUUGGCGGGCCGUUAGGCUCCGGCCCGACUACCGGCCCCGGCUGGUAAGCGCCCGCCAGAGGACCCAAAACCCUGAAUAUUAGUGUCGUCUGAGUACUAUAUAAUAGUUAAAACUUUCAACAACGGAUCUCUUGGUCCUG